AAUUGACGGGGGCCCGCACAAGCAGUGGGAGCAUGUGGUUUAAUUCGACACAACGCGCAGAACCUUACCAGGGCUUGACAUCCCCUGACGGUCGUGGAAACACAAUUUUCUGGCCUUUGGUCAGACAGGGAGACAGGUGCUGCAUGGUUGUCGUCAGCUCGUGUCGUGAGAUGUUGGGUUAAGUCCCGCAACGAGCGCAACCCUUGUCCUGUGUUGCCAGCGUGAAGACGGGGACUCACAGGAGACUGCCGGUGACAAACCGGAGGAAGGUGGGGAUGACGUCAAAUCAUCAUGGCCCUUAUGCCCUGGGCCACACACGUGCUACAAUGGCCGGUACAGAGGGGAGCGAAGGAGCGAUCUGGAGCGAAUCUCAAAAAGCCGGUCUCAGUUCAGAUUGGGGGCUGCAACUCGUCCCCAUGAAGCCGGAAUUGCUAGUAAUCGCGGAUCAGCCACGCCGCGGUGAAUACGUUCCCGGGCCUUGUACACACCGCCCGUCACACCACGAAAGCCGACAACACCCGAAGCCGGUGAGCCAACCCGCGAGGGAGGUAGCCGUCUAAGGUGGGGUUGGUGAUUGGGGUGAAGUCGUAACAAGGUA
RNAcentral lists this ribosomal RNA (598 nucleotides) under uncultured bacterium. RNAcentral describes it as "bacterial SSU rRNA". It matches the Rfam family "Bacterial small subunit ribosomal RNA", at positions 908 to 1498 of the family's 1533-position model. The record is from RNAcentral.